GCAUAAAUUCGCCAUCCCCGUCGCAAGGCGGGUUCGGAAAGCCGCGGGUCUUGCCGCUCAGCGAGAUAGCCGGGCUGCUUUC
Molecule: non-coding RNA, 82 nt
Filed under: Methylomonas methanica
Lineage: Bacteria; Pseudomonadati; Pseudomonadota; Gammaproteobacteria; Methylococcales; Methylococcaceae
Also listed under: 1 other name
Description: c-di-GMP sequence
Rfam family: c-di-GMP-I riboswitch aptamer
About the family: GEMM was predicted in a large-scale screen for bacterial structured RNA regulatory elements.
Source: RNAcentral